This 484-nucleotide ribosomal RNA is filed under the name uncultured bacterium. RNAcentral describes it as "partial 16S ribosomal RNA". It matches the Rfam family "Bacterial small subunit ribosomal RNA", at positions 30 to 507 of the family's 1533-position model. The record is from RNAcentral.
AUUGAACGCUGGCGGCAGGCCUAACACAUGCAAGUCGAGCGGAUGAAGGGGGCUUGCUCCUGGAUGCAGCGGCGGACGGGUGGGUAAUGCCUAGGAAUCUGACUGGUAGUUGGGGAUAACGUCCGGAAACGGGCGCUAAUACCGCAUACGUCCUGAGGGAGAAAGUGGGGGAUCUUCGGAGCUCACGCGAUCAGAUGAGACUAGGUCGGAUUAGCUAGUUGGUGGGGUAAAGGCGUACCAAGGCGACGAUCCGUAACUGGGCUGAGAGGAUGAUCAGUCACACUGGAACUGAGACACGGUCCAGACUCCUACGGGAGGCAGCAGUAGGGAAUAUUGGACAAUGGGCGAAAGCCUGAUCCAGCCAUGCCGCGUGUGUGAAGAAGGUCUUCGGAUUGUAAAGCACUUUAAGUUGGGAGGAAGGGCAGUAAGUGAAUACCUUGCUGUUUUGACGUUACCAACAGAAUAAGCCCCGGCUAACUUCGUG